CUCUCUCUCUUCUCUCUCUCUCUCUUCUCUUUGUUGUUGUUAUUGUUGUCUUGUGUGUUCAAAACAAUGGGAGAUUCCACCUACACAGCUGUUCAUCGACCAGAGGGUUUCCAAUUCCCCCUCAAUGACAAGUGGAAAAUUGAAGAGCUUU
Molecule: non-coding RNA, 151 nt
Filed under: Paramoeba aestuarina
Lineage: Eukaryota; Discosea; Flabellinia; Dactylopodida; Paramoebidae
Source: RNAcentral